GCUUCAAAUUGGAUGGCACUGCAGCUGGAGGCUUUGUUCAGAAUUGAUCCUGGGGAGCUACGAACCCAAAGUUUCACAGUAGGAAGGGGGAAAAAAGAAAAGAAAACAUUUUUCCUAAUGUAACAAUGCGAAUGCUAGAAAAUGACAAGACUGAUCGGUUUUAAACCAUUCUGAAGACUGACUGAGCGUGGAAGUUGCUCAACAAAAAAAGGAACGGGUAUAUUGAGUCUUGCUCUAUUGCCCAGGCUGCAACUGGUGUGAUCUCGGCUCACUACAACCUCUGCCUCCUGGGUUCAAGCGAUUCUCCUGCCUCAAGCUCCCAAGUAGCUGGGAUUACAAGCAUGCACCACCAUGCCUGGCUAAUUUUUGUAUUUUUAGUGGAGACGGGGUUUCGCCACAUUGGCCAGGGUGGUCUUGAACUCCUGACCUCAAGUGAUCCACCUGCCUUGGCCUCCCAAAGUGCUGGGAUUAUAAGCAUGAGCCACUGCACCCAGCCUUAUACUGAACUUUCAAUGGGUUCAAUUCCACUAGGAGCAUAAAGGCCACUGCAUAUGAGUUGUGGAAAGAAGAGAUUAGAAGAAGGAAGAACUUGAGAUGAGUUCCUCCCUUCAACAUUCUGUCUCCUCCUACCUAGCAUCUUCUUUCUUUUAGUCUUUCUAGAAUGUCCAUCUGUUUUUGGCCAUUGCGGAGAGAGAAGCUGAGCUUUAAAGGAGUAGGAGCUUCAAAGGCUUGCUGAGACAAAGGAAAACCCACUCCCUUGGAGGAGCAUGACCUUUUCCUGUAAUUCUUCCCACUGCUGUUGUUGAGCUCCUUGGAUCCUGGCUCCUGGACACCAUCAUCAAGAAGACUUUAUGGAUGGGCUGUCCACCCACUGAGAGAAGAGGAGCAUCAGCUACAGUUUCUCUCUAGAUUGCCUUCUUCAUUUUGAGUAAUGACUGUCAGCAGGGUCAGAUUAAACACAAAACAACUGGACAAUUGCUUGGAGGACUAAACUAUAAGGGCACUAACAUGUCAAUAGUAGGCUAACACAUCCAUGGAAAAUAUAUUUACCAGCUCUUCUCUCAGGGAGGAUUCUGUGUGGGGUUGGAAGUAAUGAUUUGUUAAAUUCCUUAGGGGUAGAAAGUAGGGCAUAAUCAGAAUAUAGAGGAAUAUGCUGUUUGACUUCAGGGUUUCUGUUUUUCUUACUAGGAUAUAUAAAACAGGGACUCUAGCUAGAUUGUUUAUGACCACAGAGGGUAGGCUGAGUGCUCCCAUGAUCUUCCUGCUUGGUUCUUGCCCAUACAGAGGUCAGCCUUUCCUCUAAUAAAGAUUGAACAAGUAGUGGUCUGAGGGAGACACCAAUUCAUUACCCUACAUGUCUCUUCUCUGCACUCCAGGGCUUUGAUAAUAAAGACACUGGCAGACUAUCUAUCUUCCAUUUCUAUAAUGUGAGCCCUUAGGGAGUCUUCGUUCACUUGGGGGUGAGGGUCAUUGCUCACAGAGUAGUUCAAGUCAAAUGGAACUUGAACUCUUUGCCUAUGGGCCUGGUGGUCAGACUCUGUGUUGAGUUCAUUAGAUUAUUGGAGACACAAGGUAGAGCUGGAUGCUUCAAAAAUAUUUGGCUAAAGGAUGACAUUGCUGGUUAUUUGUAGAUAAAGCCAUGAUGGAACCUGCUUGGAAUCAUGAAAUAUGGAACUGGUGGUCAUGUUUAAAAAUACAACUAAUAGUUAAGUACCUACUGGACACUGUAGAGACUUAGGGGCUAGACAGACAUGGUUCCUGCCCCCUUGGAGCUUACACUGUAGCUUCCCCUUAGGUAUGAAGAACAGUGGCUACAACUAACAAAUGGCCACAAAGAUAUAAUUGAGCCAGUGUUCCAAUUAUUAGGGUAAUUCCUAUUUCCUUAAUCAUUCCUAUUGACCAUGUUCUAUAAGCCUGCAUUCUAUAAAUGGCGUAUGACCAUGGGCUGUUUCCCCCCAGCAAGUUGUACAAAGUUCUGUGGUACCAGGGAAAGGGCUUAAGGUUAGCAGGGCCUCUGCGGAAGGACAUAUGAAGUGACUUGGGUUAGGAAACAGGAAGGGAUAGGAUUCAAGAACAGCUAUUGCUUCUGUUCUAUAUAGGAAACUGCAGCGUGAAAAAUGCUGGGCUGGGAAUUUUGAGACCUGGGUUUUAGUUUGUGUUCUAAUACUAACAAGCUAUGUGACUGUGGGUAAGUCAUUUCACAUUCCAUUUGGAUGCCUCUUGAGUGACUCCAGGCCUCUCCAGCUCUAAAACAUUAAGAUCAGGCCCUACGCUACAGCUGGCCAGUGUGUAAUUCUUCUGUUUCUAUGCUGUUAGGUCAAAUAGAUCUUCAAUAGUUACUUGAUUGUUAUUACUUUUUUCUGAAGUGGGUGUUUUAUCAAUGUUUUAGGAUACAGUGAGUCUGCUUCUCCCCUUUGGAGUUAGGAAGGUUGUAGGAAUAUACACUGUAGAGCAUAUGGGAGCUUUAUCCCCUCCUUUUUUCCCCGCUACCUUUCUCCCUCUCCUUCCCUUCAUCACAUUUCUAUUGAGCAUAUGCCAUUGCCGUGUACCAGGUGUGUGCUAGGUUUGGAGAUACAAGGUAAACCUGAGACUUUCCCAGUCUCCAGGAGACAAAACCCUAAUUUCUUUCAUCUGCUGUCUUUCUCUUUGGAAAGAAUCAACGAUAUCCCAGGGGAAUGUGCCCAUGUCCCAGGGUAACCAACUACAGACAGAUGCCCCAUUCUACUCAAGCAACUUUUAGAGUGCCUUGAGAUACACAUCAGAUAAUUAUGCAGGGCCAGGCAUGGUGCUGCACACUUGUAAUCACAGCACUUUGGGAGGCCGAGGCAGCAGAUUGCUUGAGCCCAGGAAUUCAAGUGUAGCCUAGGGAACAUGGCAAAACCCCAGCUCUACAAAAAAAUACACAAAUUAGCUGCGUGUGGUGGCCUAUGACAGGAGGCUGAGAUGGGAGGAUUGCUUGAGCCUGUGAGGUCGAGGCUGCAGUGAGCCGAGAUCAUGCCAU
Molecule: long non-coding RNA, 3001 nt
Organism: Homo sapiens (human)
Lineage: Eukaryota; Metazoa; Chordata; Mammalia; Primates; Hominidae
Gene: DLX6-AS1
Product: DLX6 antisense RNA 1
Source: Ensembl